Molecule: ribosomal RNA, 296 nt
Filed under: Tyrophagus putrescentiae
Lineage: Eukaryota; Metazoa; Arthropoda; Arachnida; Sarcoptiformes; Acaridae
Description: partial 28S ribosomal RNA
Rfam family: Eukaryotic large subunit ribosomal RNA
Source: RNAcentral
CCAAGGAGCCUAACACGUACGCAAGUCGCACGGUCUUGUUCAGGCCUGUGAGGCGCAAUGAAGAUAAACUGCUAUGAAGCUGCCUCUUGACGGGGGCAGCCACAGUAGCGGCCUGCCUACUUUCUCUAUUCGGGGAUAUGGUGGAGCUGGAGCGUAUGCGUUGGUACCCGAAAGAUGGUGAACUAUGCCUGGGCAAGACGAAGCCAGAGGAAACUCUGGUGGAGGUCUGUAGCGAUUCUGACGUGCAAAUCGAUCGUCAGACCUGGGUAUAGGGGCGAAAGACUAAUCGAACCAUC